CAGAGGACCUUCCCCACCCAGAGACUGAACCCGUGUCUCUUACCGCUCUUGCACUGGCAGGUGGGUUCUUUACCACUAGCGCCACCUGGGAAGCCCUCCUACGACUUUGUCGGGUAACAGUGGGCGUUUUCUAAAGAUGGCGAAACAGGGAGUCAAGUUAUCGGCGUAUCGUCCCGGGUCGUGUCGGUCAUCCCCAGAGAGGUGGCCGUGGCGGCUCCCUGGGCAGCAGGCCGGCCUGACCGGUGAUGCUAAGCCUAGGCCCCAGGCCCGCUGAGCACUCUUACCAGCCAGAGCCCUAGGACUCUGCACCCACACUCUGCACCCCCAAAGGAGCACUGGUAUUUUUGUUGUAAAAAAUUUAAAAACACCUGUCAAAGUCUUUGGACAUUGGCAAUGCAUGUCUUAAUCAUUUAAUGUAGGCUAUUUCUUGGUAAGCCUGAACCUCAGCAGAAACUAUUGUGAAGUGAGAAAACAUUUACCUACCACUUAUUUUCAAAUAUAAUGCAUUUUAUGAAAAGUAAAUUUAAUUAUCGAUUCAGUUGGCACAAUGUUAGGAUUUACAGAUGCAGUCACUUUGGUUAAUUUCAGUUUUUGCAGUUUUAUUUUGUAUUUUGGAACCUAGGUUCCCUUGCAGGCCUCUGAAAGUCUCCUUGACCCCGGGCCUUCUGUUUUAGAAGCUGGUGGGGCUGGUGAGUGCAGAGGUAGCCCUGAAGGACGUGCCGUGAGGGCUUGUGGCACGCAGACCCUCAGGGCACGCUGUGUGCAGCUGUGGCCUGACCUCGUGCAUGAAGCUGAGCCAGCCUGGAGCCCCACAGGCCUGGUCCCGCGUCCCCAGCUGCCUCUUUCUGAAGCCUGCCCUGUGGAAGUUCCUCUAGUUUUGUGAGUGGCCCCAGCAGGUUGACCUCCCAUUCCAGGAUCCCAUUUGCUCCCCCUGGUACCCCUGAGGAGGCAGGACCUACGUCCCCUUUCUGUAGAUAGUGAAGCCAGGACCCAGGGAGGGUCAGACUCCAUGGACAUGAGUUUGAGCAGACUCCGGGAGAUAGUAAAGGACAGGGAAGCCUGGCGUGCUGCAGCCCAUGGGGUUUCAAAGAGCUGUGCAUGACUUAGCGACUGAACAACAAUAACAGAGAGGGUAGGUAACUUGCCCAAAGCCACACAGCUCUAGGGAAUCGGGUGUGCCUGGGACCCCUGUUCUUUCCGGCACCCUGCCCCCAGCCUGCACAGCCCCGGUGGGCAGCGUCUUCAAUGGCCUGUGGAGGUAAACUGCAGACGUUAUGUCUGUUACACAGAGGCAGGAAUCUCUCACGUCGACUUUUUACUAACUUUGCUAUUGCAUUUACUUUGACAAGUGCUUAAGAUUUGUCUUUUAAGAGCAGCUACUUAACCUUAUCAUCCCUGCAGACUUUACCCAGUUAGUCUAAGAACACUGCAAAAGCAUAUAUUUUGAGUUCUGUUUCUCAUUUUCUCCUCAGAGUUGAAAAGAACCAUUUUGCAUGAAUUUAGUUGUGCUGUCUGGCGAUGCAGUGAGCACUCUGGCCUGUCAGCUGGCCUGGAGCUGAUGCCCCAGCCCUCCCGAGUCCCCUGAGCCCAGGUCUCUCCACUGCCACCCAGCUCCUUACCACGUGUCACCACAAGGCCUUGCCCUCUCAAGACCACGUCAUCCCGAGUCACCCCAUUUCCUCGUGCUGGCUAUGGCCCCUGGGGGGCCCAGAAUGUGCCCCAGGGUUGGCGUGACUGGGGAGAGGGUAGAAUGGGUCCCGCAGAGCCAGCCACAGGGGCCAGGACACCCAGCCCCACAUGCAGCGGAGACAGAGGCCUCCGUGUCUGGGUCUGGGAGGGGCGAUGGGCCCACAGGGCUGGAGAGGCAGCCCAGGACGGAGGAGAGCCUGCUGGGCUGGACUUGGACCUGGAACAGCCUGAGGGUCCUGGCCCAGUCAUGUCAGGAAAUCCUGGCUCACGGAUGCCUCAGGGGACACGGUGGGGCAUCCAUAGCUGGGCGGUCACAAGCGUCUGUCCCCUCUGCUGGGUGGUCGUGGGUGUCCGUCCCUCUCCCAGGUGCCCGUCCCCUCUCCCAGGCGCCCGUCCCUCUCCUGGGCGUCCGUCCUUCUCCCGGGCACCCAUCCCCUCUCCCAGGCACCUGUCCCCUCUCCCAUCCCCUCUCCCGGGCGUCCGUCCCUCUCCCGGGCGCCCGUCCCCUCUCCAAGGCGCCCGUCCACUCUCCUGUCCCCUCUCCUGGGCAUCUGUCCCCUCUCCCGUCCCUCUCCCGGGUGUCUGUCCCCUCUCCCGGCCCCCGGCCCCUCUCCCAGGCGCCCGUCCCUCUCCCGGGCGCCCGUCGCCUCUCCCAGGCGCCCGUCCCCUCUUCCAUCCCCUCUCCUGGACGCCCGUCCCUCUCCCGGGCGCCCGUCCCCUCUCCCAGGCGCCCGUCCCCUCUCACGUCCCCUCUCCUGGGCAUCUGUCCCCUCUCCCAUCCCUCUCCUGGGCAUCUGUCCCCUCUCCCAUUCCCUCUCCCAGGCCCCCGUCUGUCUCCCGAGCGUCCGUCCCCUCUCCCGGGCAUCUGUCCCCUCUCCCAGGCAUCCGUCCAUCUCCCGGGUGCCUGUCUCCUCUCCCAGGUGGUCCUGGGCAUCUGUCCCUCCCCCAGGCGGCCAUGGCCAUCCGUCCCCUCUCCUGCUCACAGGAGCCCCUACUCCUGGCUCUCCCUGGCCAGUGAGCGGUCACCCCCCACUGGCCCUGAUUGUCACCCUUGGUCUGGGCACCCCAUGCCACCCCCAGUGCCGUUGCACGUGGUCCUCAAAGGGCAAAUGCCACUGGGCCAGGUGUUGGGGCCAAAGCACUUUGGCCACAAAUGCUUGGCUGCCCAGCCCCGCGGACCAUGCUUCUGGGUGGAUUAUGCCCGGGGGGUGUUUAUUUGCCCGAGCGGGACAGGGGUGGGGGGCCUUGGAGGGCCCCGGGCCCCUGGGCACAGCCUGUGCACCCCCCGGCCCCGGCUGUCUCCAGGCCCUCAUAAAUAGCCCUGGCUUCGCAGGGAGGGUUCACGGGUGUGGCUGAGGCAGAGGACACAGGAAGGGGAGACUUGAAACGACGAGCUCAAGCCUCAGGAACCGAAGUCCUGGUGUGGCCGUCACCGUGGGAGCAGGGCGCCAGGGAGGGCGGAACAGAGCCCGGUGUCUGAGCCAGGAGGGCCGUGGCCUCUGCCUGCCUUGCCCGCCUUGCGUCGGGAGGUGCCCGCUGCUGCCCUGAGCCGGCCGGCCGGGCCCCGAGCAGAGCCUGAGCGAGACCCGGUCCAGAGAGAAGCAGGAGGACCCCCUCCCCACCCCGCCGUCCACGGCCCACUUCACGGCCCAGGCUCUCCUUUCCCUCCAACCCAGAGGGAAGGGACCCUUUCCUCCUUUUCCCUGUUCGCCUGUGUUUUCAUUGAGGUGUGAUUUACAUUCAGUGAGACGCACAUUCGUUAAGUGUCCAUCUGCUGAGCUGUUAAGACAGAGCGGUGCUUGGUGACAUCGCCCCAGUGCAGACCCAGGACGAUUCCCUCGGCCCGUCCAUGUCCCCGCCGUCAGCGCCUCUGCCGUGGGUUCACUGCUGUGCGCUUGUUGCCAUGGACUCCACGAGCCAGACUGCGCAGCGGGCCCGGAUGCGUCUGGCCUCCUCCACUCAGCGAGCGGUUUCCGAGCCUCAUCCGCACCGAGGGGCGUGCUUUGCUAGUUCCCAUUCCUGCCGUGGGGAUGGACUCAGUUGUUUGUGGGGCAGCUCCUGAUGCUUUUCCUGCCUGGGGAGUCACACCCACCCACAUUCAGAGGCUCUCAGGGUCUGGGACUGAAGACGAGCUGAAAGUCUUUGUGGGGGCUUCUCGCCUUUGUGCCCAGAUGGCUCCCUGUCUGUGGCCGUGGACCCUUCUCUUCUCUCCUGGGGCAGAAGGUUCAGGCCAAGGCUACAAGAGGGGGUCCAACCGGGGGUCCAAGCUCUGGCUCAGCCCCGGGUACUGGAGGGGCCCCAGCCUGUGCUCUGGGCUCAAAGGGGAGCCUCCCACUGGACUGAUGGACGGAGCGGGUGGGUGGGCAGGUCUGCUGUCAGCCACGGGCGGCUGCUGCAGGGGGCGGCCCGGUGGGAAGGACCCUCGGAGGGACUCCUCCCACGAGAGCGAGCCCGCUGCGCUGACCGCGGACCCAGGGGAGGCAAAGAGGGCCGGGCGUGUGUUGGUCCGCUGGGCCUGCGUCACACGGUGCCAGCAGCGGGGCGGCCGGAGUGGACUGCCGUCUCGCGCGGGGGCUGAGCGCUGGCCUGCGGGGCGGGGCCGGACCCCCUCGCCUGCCCUGCCCCUCCCAGCCCCCCGUGUCCCCGGCAGCCUGGUGCCCCCGGCUGGCAGCUCCUCACUUGGUCUCUUCCUCCGUGCUCAGGGCCGCCUCCUCCCUGCGGUCUUCGUAUCAGGCUCCAACAUGUGUCUGUGUCCAGGGUCUCCCUCUCCUGACCCGGGUGCCCUGCUCCAGGGUCACGACCACUCACGCCUGCAGGGGCCCUGUUUCCAAACGAGGUCACGCUCUGAGACGACGGAGGUUAGCGUUUUGGCCGUCUUCUGGAUGACAUGUUCAGCCCCUAACAUCCCGCCUGCCUCGUGCCUCGGGAUGAGGCAGGGUGAUGCCAGGUCGGUCGUCGCAGUGGCCUGCAAGGCCCGCGAUGGUGGCACGUGUACCUUCUUGACGGACUCCCUCCUCUCGCCUCCGUUUCCUCGUCAGAAUCGGUCUCCGGGUUCUUCUCCAGGUGUCAGUCCCGUUUUCCUUCUGAGUCUCUUUGCCCAGACGGAAGGCACUGUUGCAGGUGGGAUCUGCCUCCUGCGUGAGUUUAGGGGACUCUCCCUGAAGACAGGAGCUCCCGUGCCAUCAGCCUGGGAGCAAGAUCUUGAAGAUCAGAAUAAAGUUCUCUGAGAACUGA
Bubalus bubalis (water buffalo) is the source of this 4923-nucleotide RNA transcript. RefSeq lists it as uncharacterized. NCBI's taxonomy places the organism in Eukaryota, Metazoa, Chordata, Mammalia, Artiodactyla, Bovidae. The record is from RefSeq and is a predicted model, not a curated record. The transcript is spliced from 2 exons.